This is a long non-coding RNA of Erigeron canadensis, 558 nucleotides long. RefSeq lists it as uncharacterized. Lineage: Eukaryota; Viridiplantae; Streptophyta; Magnoliopsida; Asterales; Asteraceae. The record is from RefSeq and is a predicted model, not a curated record. The transcript is spliced from 3 exons.
AAAAGAAAAAGGAGCACAUAAAAACCCCCAGACAUAAACACACAGUCACAGACACACUCCCUCAUACAGAAGAAUCUAUUUAUUUAUUGUAUGUGAAAAAAAAUAAUGGUGAAGAGGUUUACAUUGAUUGAAACAAUAGCAUCUGCGGCUCUCUUUUCAGGCGUUUCCUUCUGGUAUGGAUUUAUGAUCGGCAGAGAAACAUCUCGGAAGGAAUUAGGUGAUUUAAUCGCCGAUCUUCGCCGUCAAACUCCUGAUCCUAAUCCUCCUCAAACUUCUUAAUUUCUGUGGCCUGGUGCUUUUGACCACAGAACAUAGCUUCAAGUUGGGGGCUUUGAGAAAUCAACUAACGUCAUGUUUUAUUAUCCUUUUUAGAAGUCAUGCCUGAGUUCUGCUACAAAGAGAAGUAUCAUGUUUUUGAGGGCAUUUUGAUUAGGAUUUUGUAUUUUUAACCUAACUCUCAAAUGUGCCCUUAAGGGGAAGGUGGCUGUAACAUUGAAUUACAUAUGGAGUGAAAUUAAUACCUAGUUUGGAUUAGCUCAGUUACGAGCUUCAUAGUUC